This is an RNA transcript of Paramisgurnus dabryanus, 1576 nucleotides long. RefSeq lists it as uncharacterized. Lineage: Eukaryota; Metazoa; Chordata; Actinopteri; Cypriniformes; Cobitidae. The record is from RefSeq and is a predicted model, not a curated record.
UCCACGUGACCACGCCGCAGCUUGCGGCAAAACAUUUAGCAAAAUGGCUGGCUGUUGUAAGUAAAACUGACAAUUAUUAGCAAACAUUUAAUUUAGUUAGACUUGAUAACUUGUCAACCCUGUGGUCAGUCAAACGAUCCAUUUACUUCACCUUUCUGUGUUUUUGGCAGUCUGUAAAACGAUAGCUCUGAAUUCUUGUUAAUCUGUUAGUACCAACAUGAUCUUGUUCCGUGGGAUAGUCCCGGAAUUUUUUGAAAAGCAAAAGUGACUGCAGUUACGCCCACUGAGUGGCAAAAAGUCUGAGUCUCAAAGGAGAAGUAAAUCAGUAGCAGUAGCCAUAUCAGACACAGAUGUCGUGUAUUUUUUUAAACGGUUGAGACCCUGCAGGAAUACCUGAAAAGCAGAGCUGGUGCGACGCAACAAUUUCAUUUUCUGACAAGCCCCUCCCCGUCUCAGCGAGCUUAUAAAUCCAACUCUCAAAGAUCAGUUGAUCAUCCCAGUCAGCUUAAGAUGGAUACAUGUACACUUCUUGCAUUUGUGGGUACAGGUGCAGGAGCAGCUUGCUUCGUUGAUGGAGCUUCUUCCAGAAGCGACUGCUAUAUGUUUUAGUAACCAAAAGAUGGCGCUGUUUUCGACACAUUGAAGCUUUGUUCAAAACAGUCAAGGGAAGUAUCUGUGCUUCUUUCGAGGCUUAAUUUUCCUAUCACUACUGUAUUAUUUAUAUACACCGGGAAAAUAAGUAUUUGACACAUCAUUAUUUUUAUCAGUAAGGGGAUUUCUAAGUGAGCUAUUGACACAAAAUUUCCAAGGUCGUUUGGCAAGACUGAUCUCCACAAACACGCAAGUCCGUUCUUUGCGUUGGAAUUGAGAAACAGGUCCAUAUCGUUAACAGCUUUGGCUAUCCUAAGAUUCAGUGCGCGCCUGUGUGAGUUACAGCAGUUGCUGCAGCUCCUCUUGUUUUAGGGGCUGUUGGUUUCACUGCAGGAGGGGUUGCUGCGGGUUCUUCUGCCGCCUCUUUGAUGUCAGCUGUUGCUGCUGCUAAUGGUGGAGGGGUUGCAGCUGGAUCUCUAGUAGCAGGUCUGCAGGCCGCAGGUGCUGCUGGAAUACCUGCCGCAGCAAAUGCUAUUAUAGGGACUCUAGGGGGCGCUGCAGGUGCAGCUUUGAGUUCAUACUAUUGCAGUUAAUGAGUCACAGGUGCUGUUGAAAUCUCUGUCAUAUGAAGUCAUAUGCCAUGGAGGUUGCGGUGGGGACUUUCUUAUCUGUCCUGCAAUGCCUGUUUAUGUAAUAAUACACAUAAAGCUUUUCAUGAUCUUACUAUUACUGUAUUUCUACAUUUCUGGUCAAUAUUGUUAAAAUAGGUAUGUGAACUCUGACCAUUAUAAUGAUUAAUAAUACAUUGUAUUAUAAAUUAGUAAUGGCAUAGUUCAUGUUCUGUAUUUUCUAUAUCAUUUGUUCUAACACAUUACUAAGCAAUCAGCCUCCAAACUUUCAGCUGCAGCCAUGUUAGAAUCAAAACAAGGAAUCAGAAAUGAAUGCGGUUUAUAAAUUGCUAAUAAUAAUAAACAUAUUAAUAACA